GUCGUCGUAGCUUACUGUUAAAGCGCCCGCUCGUAAACGGGAGAGUGUAGGUUCAAUUCCUACAGGCGACA
This 71-nucleotide transfer RNA is filed under the name Sinorhizobium phage phiM12. It matches the Rfam family "tRNA". Rfam says of the family: Transfer RNA (tRNA) molecules are approximately 80 nucleotides in length. RNAcentral also lists the same sequence under 1 other name. The record is from Rfam by way of RNAcentral. Lineage: Duplodnaviria; Heunggongvirae; Uroviricota; Caudoviricetes.